ACCAGGAUGGCCGAGUGGUUAAGGCGUUGGACUAUAGCAUAACUCCAGGAUGGCCGAGUGGUUAAGGUGUUGGACUUAAGAUCUGUGUGGGUUCAAACCCCACUCCUGGUA
Non-coding RNA from Pelobates cultripes (western spadefoot toad), 111 nucleotides. Lineage: Eukaryota; Metazoa; Chordata; Amphibia; Anura; Pelobatidae. The record is from the annotation of a GenBank genome assembly.